UUUAAAAAUUUUAGUUUAAGAAAAAUUUAAUAUUUACAAUAUUAAGAUAUUUAAUAAUAAAUUUUAAU
This 68-nucleotide transfer RNA is filed under the name Binodoxys communis. Its description in RNAcentral is "tRNA-Val". The record is from RNAcentral. Lineage: Eukaryota; Metazoa; Arthropoda; Insecta; Hymenoptera; Braconidae.